RNAcentral lists this ribosomal RNA (447 nucleotides) under uncultured bacterium. RNAcentral describes it as "bacterial SSU rRNA". It matches the Rfam family "Bacterial small subunit ribosomal RNA", at positions 355 to 825 of the family's 1533-position model. The record is from RNAcentral.
UGGGGAAUAUUGGACAAUGGGCGCAAGCCUGAUCCAGCCAUGCCGCGUGAGUGACGAAGGCCUUAGGGUUGUAAAGCUCUUUUGGCGGGGAAGAUAAUGACGGUACCCGCAGAAUAAGCUUCGGCUAACUUCGUGCCAGCAGCCGCGGUAAUACGAAGGGAGCUAGCGUUGUUCGGAAUCACUGGGCGUAAAGCGCACGUAGGUGGGCAGUUAAGUCAGGGGUGAAAGCCCGAGGCUCAACCUCGGAAUUGCCUCUGAUACUGGCUGUCUAGAGUUCGAGAGAGGUGAGUGGAAUUCCUAGUGUAGAGGUGAAAUUCGUAGAUAUUAGGAAGAACACCGGUGGCGAAGGCGGCUCACUGGCUCGAUACUGACACUGAGGUGCGAAAGCGUGGGGAGCAAACAGGAUUAGAUACCCUUGUAGUCCCUGAGCGGGCUGGCAAGGCGCAU